Small nuclear RNA from Callithrix jacchus (white-tufted-ear marmoset), 164 nucleotides. Its record names the gene U1. It matches the Rfam family "U1 spliceosomal RNA". Rfam says of the family: U1 is a small nuclear RNA (snRNA) component of the spliceosome (involved in pre-mRNA splicing). Its 5' end forms complementary base pairs with the 5' splice junction, thus defining the 5' donor site of an intron. The record is from Ensembl. Lineage: Eukaryota; Metazoa; Chordata; Mammalia; Primates; Cebidae.
AUACUUACCUGGCAGGGGAGAUACCAUGAUCAUGAAGGUGGUUUUCCCAGGGCGAGGCUUAUCCAUUGCACUCCAGAUGUGCUGACCCCUGCGAUUUCCCCAAAUGUGGGAAAGUCCACUGCAUACUUUGUGAUAGUGGGGGACUGUGUUCGUGCUUUCCCCUG